Molecule: ribosomal RNA, 468 nt
Filed under: uncultured bacterium
Lineage: Bacteria
Description: partial 16S ribosomal RNA
Rfam family: Bacterial small subunit ribosomal RNA
Source: RNAcentral
GACGAACGCUGGCGGCGUGCUUAACACAUGCAAGUCGAACGGAAAGGCCCUGCUUUUGUGGGGUGCUCGAGUGGCGAACGGGUGAGUAACACGUGAGUAACCUGCCCUUGACUUUGGGAUAACUUCAGGAAACUGGGGCUAAUACCGGAUAGGAGCUCCUGCUGCAUGGUGGGGGUUGGAAAGUUUCGGCGGUUGGGGAUGGACGCGCGGCUUAUCAGCUUGUUGGUGGGGGAGUGGCUUACCAAGGCUUUGACGGAUAGCCGGCAUGAGAGGGUGAACGGCCACCAUGGGACUGAGGUACGGACCAGAGUCGUACGGGAGGCAGAAGUGGGAAAUAUUGCACAAUGGGCGGAAGCCUGAUGCAGCAACGCCGCGUGCGGGAUGACGGCCUUCGGGUUGUAAACCGCUUUCGCCUGUGACGAAGCGUGAGUGACGGUAAUGGGUAAAGAAGCACCGGCUAACUACGUG